UCCUCUCAAAGGGCAGAGCUUCUGUCACUGUACAUGGUCAUUCACUUUAUGUGGAAAGAGAACUGACCUAAUAUCAGAAUAUAUAGAGAUCCAUGGGCAGGGGUGAGUGGCUUGAUUUAUUGAUCAGGGGCCUGGAACAAGUAAGAGUAGAAGAUUGGGGACAGAAAUUCUGGGGAAGAGGCAUGCGUAUGGACCCACAGGAGUCGUUACCAGGUGUAAAGAUCUUUGUGUCGCAGUGAACACCAAGCAGAGAACAUCCAUCGUAGAAGAGGCACCACAACACAAAGUAGAAGAAAAUGACUUGGCCAGUUAAAGUCAACUAGCCUCUGUCCAUGGCCAUCCCAGCACUCAAACAGUGGAGUUAUGAAUGUAGUAGCUAUGGUGGCCAUGGUAAAUGCUAGACCUGGGCACAGCAGUGUGGGCUCCCACUCACAAAGCUUGAUCCAGCUACUGCCACUGCCAAAACAGAGUUCAGCGCUGAGCCUCCAAUUUGGCAUCAGCAUUGAAGGAAACCAACCAGUCAUUUCUUGGCAAGUGGAUUACAUUGGACCCUUUUCAAACCAAAAUCUGGAAAGGGCUCAAUUCGUUGACAGGACAGAUCAAUUCGUUUGACAUAUUCUGGGUGUGAGUUUGAUUCUCUUGCCCACAGUGCCUGAGCUAGCCGUACUAUCCAAGAGUUCACAUACUGUCUGACCCGUCAGCAUUGGAUCUUCCAUAGCAUCACAACAGACCACGGGACCCACUUUAAAGCAAAGAUGUGUCAGUGGACAUAAGACCAUGGGAUCCACUGGCCCUAUCAUAUACCACACCAUCCGGAAGCUGCCAGCCUGAUGGAUCCGUGGAAGAGUCUUUUGAAGACAUAGCUAAGAUAAUGCUCCUAUGCUUCCUUAGAGAGCCACCUGCACAAAUCUCCAUCGUUGUUUCCCAGAGAACCCGAUGGAUAGCAAUGGACAUUUACAGACAGGAAGGGUCUCACUUUAUCGCCCAGGCUGGAGUGUAGUGGCAUAAUCA
Molecule: non-coding RNA, 1011 nt
Organism: Chlorocebus sabaeus (green monkey)
Lineage: Eukaryota; Metazoa; Chordata; Mammalia; Primates; Cercopithecidae
Source: RefSeq, a predicted model, not a curated record